Molecule: ribosomal RNA, 253 nt
Filed under: uncultured bacterium
Lineage: Bacteria
Description: partial 16S ribosomal RNA
Rfam family: Bacterial small subunit ribosomal RNA
Source: RNAcentral
UACGGAGGGGGCUAGCGUUGUUCGGAAUUACUGGGCGUAAAGCGCGCGUAGGCGGCUUUGUAAGUUAGAGGUGAAAGCCCGGAGCUCAACUCCGGAACUGCCUUUAAGACUGCAUCGCUAGAAUUGUGGAGAGGUGAGUGGAAUUCCGAGUGUAGAGGUGAAAUUCGUAGAUAUUCGGAAGAACACCAGUGGCGAAGGCGACUUACUGGACACAUAUUGACGCUGAGGUGCGAAAGCGUGGGGAGCAAACAGG